This 72-nucleotide transfer RNA is filed under the name Heterocephalus glaber (naked mole-rat). It matches the Rfam family "tRNA". Rfam says of the family: Transfer RNA (tRNA) molecules are approximately 80 nucleotides in length. Their secondary structure includes four short double-helical elements and three loops (D, anti-codon, and T loops). The record is from Rfam by way of RNAcentral. Lineage: Eukaryota; Metazoa; Chordata; Mammalia; Rodentia; Bathyergidae.
AGGGGUAUAGCUUAGAGGUACAGCACUUGCUUAGCAUGCAGGAGGCCCUGGGUUAGAUUCUCAGUACUACAA